GAUGAACGCUAGCGGCAGGCUUAACACAUGCCAGUCGAGGGGUAUUUAUCUUCGGAUAGAGAGACCGGCGCACGGGUGCGUAACGCGUAUGCAAUCUACCUUUUACAGAGGGAUAGCCCAGAGAAAUUUGGAUUAAUACCUCAUAGUAUAUAGACUCGGCAUCGAGAUUAUAUUAAAGUCACAACGGUAAAAGAUGAGCAUGCGUCCCAUUAGCUAGUUGGUAAGGUAACGGCUUACCAAGGCUACGAUGGGUAGGGGUCCUGAGAGGGAGAUCCCCCACACUGGAAUGGGAAAACGAACAAGAUUCUAAGGGAGGGAGGAAUGGGGAAAAAUGGGAAAAGGGCGCAAGCCUGAUCCAGCCAUGCCGCGUGCAGGAUGACGGUCCUAUGGAUUGUAAACUGCUUUUAUACGAGAAGAAACACUGCUACGUGUAGCAGCUUGACGGUAUCGUAAGAAUAAGGAUCGGCUAACUCCGUG
RNAcentral lists this ribosomal RNA (477 nucleotides) under uncultured bacterium. RNAcentral's name for it is "partial 16S ribosomal RNA". It matches the Rfam family "Bacterial small subunit ribosomal RNA", at positions 28 to 507 of the family's 1533-position model. The record is from RNAcentral.